AGCUCCAAAAGCGUAUAUUAAAGUUGUUGCAGUUAAAAAGCUCGUAGUUGGAUUUCUGGGGUCGGAGCAUGGUCGCGCCGCAAGGCGUGCACUAUUUUUCGGCCCCUUUUGCUCGAAGGCCUGCGGUUCUCUUCAUUGGGUGCCGUAUGGAAUUCGGGACCUUUACUUUGAAAAAAUUAGAGUGUUCAAAGCAGGCUUACGCUUGAAUAUUACAGCAUGGAAUAAUGAAACAGGACUUUGGUUCUAUUUUGUUGGUUUCUAGGACUGAAGUAAUGAUUAAUAGGGGCGGUUGGGGGCAUUAGUAUUUAAUUGUCAGAGGUGAAAUUCUUGGAUUUAUGAAAGACUAACUACUGCGAAAGCAUUUGCCAAGGAUGUUUUCA
This 380-nucleotide ribosomal RNA is filed under the name uncultured eukaryote. RNAcentral's name for it is "SSU rRNA". It matches the Rfam family "Eukaryotic small subunit ribosomal RNA", at positions 587 to 972 of the family's 1831-position model. The record is from RNAcentral.